Molecule: ribosomal RNA, 253 nt
Filed under: uncultured bacterium
Lineage: Bacteria
Description: partial 16S ribosomal RNA
Rfam family: Bacterial small subunit ribosomal RNA
Source: RNAcentral
UACGUAGGGGGCGAGCGUUGUCCGGAAUUAUUGGGCGUAAAGAGCGUGUAGGCGGUUCGGUAAGUCUGCCGUGAAAACCUGGGGCUCAACCCCGGGCGUGCGGUGGAUACUGCCGGGCUAGAGUGCGGAAGAGGCGAGUGGAAUUCCUGGUGUAGCGGUGAAAUGCGCAGAUAUCAGGAGGAACACCUAUUGCGAAGGCAGCUCGCUGGGACGUAACUGACGCUGAGACGCGAAAGCGUGGGGAGCAAACAGG